This 446-nucleotide ribosomal RNA is filed under the name uncultured bacterium. RNAcentral's name for it is "bacterial SSU rRNA". It matches the Rfam family "Bacterial small subunit ribosomal RNA", at positions 29 to 524 of the family's 1533-position model. The record is from RNAcentral.
AGCGAACGCUGGCGGCAGGCCUAACACAUGCAAGUCGAACGAUCCUUCGGGAUAGUGGCGGACGGGUGAGUAACACGUGGGAACGUGCCUUUUGGUUCGGAACAACUCAGGGAAACUUGAGCUAAUACCGAAUGUGCCCUUCGGGGAAGGAUUUAUCGCCAUUAGAGCGGCCCGCGUCUGAUUAGCUAGUUGGUGAGGUAAAGGCUCACCAAGGCUACGAUCAGUAGCUGGUCNGAGAGGAUGAUCAGCCACAUUGGGACUGAGACACGGCCCAAACUCCUACGGGAGGCAGCAGUGGGGAAUCUUGCGCAAUGGGCGAAAGCCUGACGCAGCCAUGCCGCGUGAAUGAUGAAGGUCUUAGGAUUGUAAAAUUCUUUCACCGGGACGAUAAUGACGGUACCCGGAGAAGAAGCCCCGGCUAACUUCGUGCCAGCAGCCGCUGUAAU